AUGAGUGCCUGUUCACAUACUUUUUUCCGCAGUUGCGCAGCAGAUCGCGUCGUCGUUGCCGCUGACAAUAAGGCAACGAGGCGGUCCGCGAGGCGCAAUGCGACGACCGAAGUCGAGCCGCUUGCCCCGUCUGCCGGGGCGGCGGCUUUUUUC
This is a non-coding RNA of Paraburkholderia caribensis, 153 nucleotides long. The record is from Rfam. NCBI's taxonomy places the organism in Bacteria, Pseudomonadati, Pseudomonadota, Betaproteobacteria, Burkholderiales, Burkholderiaceae.